Long non-coding RNA from Physeter macrocephalus (sperm whale), 1742 nucleotides. RefSeq lists it as uncharacterized. NCBI's taxonomy places the organism in Eukaryota, Metazoa, Chordata, Mammalia, Artiodactyla, Physeteridae. The transcript has 4 exons. The record is from RefSeq and is a predicted model, not a curated record.
CCCACCUCCUGAUAUCUUAUUGCAUGAGACAAACAUGAAACAAAUAUUUGUUUAAGCUACUGUUAGGUUUUUCUCUUACUUGAGACUAACCACAUUCCCAACUGAUAUCUUCAAUUUCUUUACAUCUCUUGUGUACAUCUUUUGUGGUAAAUGCUUCAUUCUAAGGCUUGUUUCCCUUUGUAGACACAAACUGGCUUCCAGCAGCCUCAGAAGCCUCCUGCUUCCUCGCUUGCAUCCUACAGGAGAGAGUCAUCUUUAUCCUAGAAUUCCCUGGUCCUGGUUCUGAAAAUCCUGCUGGCAUCUACUGCUGGAGUCUGUGGCUAGAGAACGCACGCAUCCCAACAGACCCAUGACAGGUGCCAACUGUGCAGCCUCCCUUCAGGUACCGUUAUCGUAAGCGCCUACAUUGGUUGAGUUGCUCACAUUCUUCUUGCUCCGAGGGAAGACUCUUUCCUUACCUUGCACACCUCUCUCUCCUCUCUCUCUCUGUCUCGCUCCCUUGCUCCCUCUCUCUGUCCCUCCUGCUCUAUGUCACUCUAAGACUCCCUGAAUAUUUUGGCCUGUGCUGCACACUGUGGAGAGAAAAGCAUCCUAUGAACCGUCAUACACUCAGACUGGUGCUGAUGAUAUGCUCUGUCAAUUCCUUUGUGAUACUGCUCUUGGAACCCAGCUGUCACACCGUGAGGAAGCCCAAGCCACCCUGUGGAGAGGCACAUGUGGAGAGGAGCAGCAUACAGCACCAACUUGAAAGCCAUGGGACACAGGUUCGAGCCCUGGUCCGGGAAGAUCCCACAUGCCAUGGAGCAGCUAAGCCCGUGUGCCACAACUACUGAGCCUGCGCUCUAGAGCCUGCGAGCUACAACUACUGAGCCCGCAUGCCACAACUACUGAAGCCCGCGUGCCUAGAGCCCGUGCUCUGCAACAAAGAGAAGCCAGCACAAUGAGAAGCCCGCACACCGCAUCAAAGAGUAGCCCCCGCUCGCUGCAACUAGAGAAAGCCUGUGUGCAGCCAAAAAUAAAUAAAUAUAAAUAAAAAUUUUUUAAGAAAUAAAGAAAAGGUCAGCUUGCCAAGGUCCAGUUUGAGUUUCACCCUGAAGCAGUAGGGAGCCAUAGGAGGGUUUGGAGCAGGGGAGUGACAGUUUUGUGUUUUAGAUAUUCCGGGCUACCAUGUGAGAGGGCUGGGAUCCUGCAGGCAGGGAAACCAGGAGGAGUCUCUUGCCCUGCAGUGCUCAUCCUCUGCAUUGUUACCACAAAGCCAUGAGAAUGUUGCUGGACUAAUCCCCCACUUUAUAUUUUUCUUUUCUACAAUGUAAGUGUUUUAAGCUAUAAAUUUCUCCCUAAUCACUGCCUCAGUAUAUCCCACAAGUUUUGAUAUGUUUAGUUUUUAUUAUCACUUCAUUCAGAAUAUUUUCUAAUUUCCCUUGAAAUGUCUCCUCUGACCUAUGGAUUCUUUACGUGUGUUGUAUGAUUUCCAAAUAUUUGAGAUUUUUCUGUGAAUCUCAUCGUUACUCAUUUUCAUUUCCUUCCACCGUGGUCACAGAACAUACUUGGCACAUUCUUUGAAUUUUAUGAAUACCGUUUGAUGGGUGAACAUAUGUUCUAUCAUGGUGAAGGUAGCACAUUUGCUGGAAAAGAAAGUGAACGCUGCAGCUGUUGAGUUUAGUGUUCAUAAAUGUCCGUUACAGUCAGGGUAGUUGACAAUAUUCUUCUGUUCUUCUAUGUAUUUCCUUAUUAUUUAGUCC